Molecule: ribosomal RNA, 489 nt
Filed under: uncultured crenarchaeote
Lineage: Archaea; Thermoproteati; Thermoproteota
Description: bacterial SSU rRNA
Rfam family: Archaeal small subunit ribosomal RNA
Source: RNAcentral
CCAGGCGGAAAACUUUGCCAAUACACGAAAGUGUGCCAGGGAAUUCCAAAGUGUAGUUCGUAAAAGAAAGCUUUUUUCCAGUCUAAAAAACAGGGAGAAUAAGGAGAGGGUAAGUCGGGUGUCAGCCGCCGCGGUAAUACCAGCUCUCCAAGUGGUGGGGAUUAUUAUUGGGCCUAAAGCAUCCGUAGCCGGUUAUGUUAGUCCCUGGUUAAAUCCUCCGGCUUAAUCGUUGGAAUUCGGGGGAUACUGAUGGGCUAGGGGACGGGAGAGGCAGGCGGUAUUCCCGGGGUAGGGGUGAAAUCCUAUAAUCCCGGGAGGACCACCAGUGGCGAAGGCGGUUUGCUAGAACGCGUCCGACGGUGAGGGAUGAAAGCUGGGGGAGCGAACCGGAUUAGAUACCCGGGUAGUCCCAGCUGUAAACGAUGCAGGCUAGGUGUUGGACGGCCACGAGCCGUUCCAGUGCCGCAGAGAAGCCGUAAGCCUGCCGCC